CUUUUUAGCGAGUUUCAGAAAUGCUGUCCUGAUUGUCUCUCUCAAAAGAUAUUGGACAGACUCAGUGCAUAGAAGCUCCCACGCAAGGUGGGGUCUGGGGAGGGAUUAUAGGAACCUAGUCUUACUCUCAAAAGAUAUUGCAGCUAGUAAAAUAUCCGUUGAGCGCAUAUCAAGUAUGAACAAGGUACCCUUCCAUUCUGGAAGAGAAGUAGUCAUAAUGCAAAAAUAUACUAUUAGCUUUGCUCAAGACUAAAUUGCUCAUAACUAUCUCAGAAGGGGUUAGAAAGUGCGAACCAUAUCAAGCCAUGUGUUACAUGAAAAAUAUAUUGACAACCAGUUGAUGACUGAAAACAACUCAAUCAUAAUUCAGGUUGGAAGCUAUCAACAAAUAUGAACUAGCCAUCAAAUUAUUAUAACAGAACCAUUGAAAACGUACAAGUGUUAAACGUGACAAUGCAAUGCUGAAUAUAUCCAUACACUAUCUUUGUGUUCUCCUUCUGUAAUUUUAUUGAUUUGUGUUCACUUCUUUUUAGCGAGUUUCAGAAAUGGUGUCCUGAUUGUCUCUCUCAAAAGAUAUUGCAGCUAGUAAAAUAUCCAUGAACGCAUAUCAAGUAUGAACAAGGUACCCUUCCAUUCUGGAAGAGAAGUAGUCAUAAUG
RNAcentral lists this long non-coding RNA (658 nucleotides) under Hordeum vulgare. Its description in RNAcentral is "long non-coding RNA (HVUL_LNC007628)". Lineage: Eukaryota; Viridiplantae; Streptophyta; Magnoliopsida; Poales; Poaceae. The record is from RNAcentral.